UGGGGAAUUUUGGACAAUGGGCGAAAGCCUGAUCCAGCAAUGCCGCGUGUGUGAAGAAGGCCUUCGGGUUGUAAAGCACUUUUGUCCGGAAAGAAAUGGCUCUGGUUAAUACCUGGGGUCGAUGACGGUACCGGAAGAAUAAGGACCGGCUAACUACGUGCCAGCAGCCGCGGUAAUACGUAGGGUCCAAGCGUUAAUCGGAAUUACUGGGCGUAAAGCGUGCGCAGGCGGUUGUGCAAGACCGAUGUGAAAUCCCCGAGCUUAACUUGGGAAUUGCAUUGGUGACUGCACGGCUAGAGUGUGUCAGAGGGGGGUAGAAUUCCACGUGUAGCAGUGAAAUGCGUAGAGAUGUGGAGGAAUACCGAUGGCGAAGGCAGCCCCCUGGGAUAACACUGACGCUCAUGCACGAAAGCGUGGGGAGCAAACAGGAUUAGAUACCCUGGUAGUCCACGCCCUAAACGAUGUCAACUAGUUGUUGGGAUUCAUUUCCUUAGUAACGUAGCUAACGCGUGAAGUUUGACCGCCUGGGGAGUACGGUCGCAAGAUUAAAAGCUCAAAUGAAUUGACGGGG
Molecule: ribosomal RNA, 571 nt
Filed under: uncultured bacterium
Lineage: Bacteria
Description: partial 16S ribosomal RNA
Rfam family: Bacterial small subunit ribosomal RNA
Source: RNAcentral